UUUUUAUUCUUUUUAUUUUUAUUUUUAUUCUUUGGCUGGAAAAGUCGAAAGGCUUAAGCUGUAACUGAAAAUUUUUGCAAUCGAAGCACUUUUUCUUUUAUUCUCUCCUCUGCUUUUGCGGGUGUGUACUGUUUCCUUGGACAGGUGCCUACUCCUCCGGCGAAGAUCUCCAGCAACUCACGCUCAGGCUCGCGGCAGGACGCAAUAGAGCUGCACGUUCUGCUAAGCUUUAGGAAAGCUUGGGCGCCUCAAAGCACACUUUCAGGUUUUUCCAUCGGGAGUUGGUACCUCCCGCUCCCUUGUUUACAUUGUGCAUCUUUUUACGUAUCGUUUUCGUAUUUUAGUUAGCAUAUCGAGUAAGUUGUUAUCUAGUUUGCUACAUUUGCGUUUUUCGUUAUAGUGCGUGUGUGUGCCACUGUACCCCAUAUCGGUUGGUGGGAUAGUGGCCGCGGCGGGGGAUGAUAGCGUAAGGUCAUGUCCUCAGGGGGUGGG
This 492-nucleotide long non-coding RNA is filed under the name Nicotiana benthamiana. Its description in RNAcentral is "long non-coding RNA (NBEN_LNC029984)". The record is from RNAcentral. Lineage: Eukaryota; Viridiplantae; Streptophyta; Magnoliopsida; Solanales; Solanaceae.